GUCUACGGCCAUACCACCCUGAACGCGCCGGGUCUCGUCUGAUGUUGGAAGCUAAGCAGGGUCGAGCCUGGUUAGUACUUGGAUGGGAGAUUUCCAUUUUGUGGUUCCGUGAAUUGUACUUU
Molecule: ribosomal RNA, 122 nt
Organism: Nomascus leucogenys (northern white-cheeked gibbon)
Lineage: Eukaryota; Metazoa; Chordata; Mammalia; Primates; Hylobatidae
Source: Rfam